UACAGAGGGGGCAAGCGUUGUUCGGAAUUACUGGGCGUAAAGGGCGCGUAGGCGGCCGCCUAAGUCAGACGUGAAAUCCCUCGGCUCAACCGGGGAACUGCGUCUGAUACUGGGUGGCUUGAAUCCGGGAGAGGGAUGCGGAAUUCCAGGUGUAGCGGUGAAAUGCGUAGAUAUCGGGAAGAACACCCGUGGCGAAGGCGGUUCUCUGGGACGGUACUGACGCUGAGACGCGAAAGCGUGGGGAGCGAACAGG
RNAcentral lists this ribosomal RNA (253 nucleotides) under uncultured bacterium. RNAcentral's name for it is "partial 16S ribosomal RNA". It matches the Rfam family "Bacterial small subunit ribosomal RNA", at positions 524 to 776 of the family's 1533-position model. The record is from RNAcentral.